UGGGGAAUUUUGGACAAUGGGCGAAAGCCUGAUCCAGCAAUGCCGCGUGUGUGAAGAAGGCCUUCGGGUUGUAAAGCACUUUUGUCCGGAAAGAAAUCCUUGGCUCUAAUACAGUCGGGGGGUGACGGUACCGGAAGAAUAAGCACCGGCUAACUACGUGCCAGCAGCCGCGGUAAUACGUAGGGUGCAAGCGUUAAUCGGAAUUACUGGGCGUAAAGCGUGCGCAGGCGGUUUGCUAAGACCGAUGUGAAAUCCCCGGGCUCAACCUGGGAACUGCAUUGGUGACUGGCAGGCUAGAGUAUGGCAGAGGGGGGUAGAAUUCCACGUGUAGCAGUGAAAUGCGUAGAGAUGUGGAGGAAUACCGAUGGCGAAGGCAGCCCCCUGGGCCAAUACUGACGCUCAUGCACGAAAGCGUGGGGAGCAAACAGGAUUAGAUACCCUGGUAGUCCACGCCCUAAAACGAUGUCAACUAGUUGUUGGGGAUUCAUUUCCUUAGUAACGUAGCUAACGCGUGAAGUUGACCGCCUGGGGAGUACGGUCGCAAGAUUAAAACUCAAAUGAAUUGACGGGGUCAUAGCUGUUUCCU
This 586-nucleotide ribosomal RNA is filed under the name uncultured bacterium. RNAcentral's name for it is "partial 16S ribosomal RNA". It matches the Rfam family "Bacterial small subunit ribosomal RNA", at positions 355 to 1375 of the family's 1533-position model. The record is from RNAcentral.